Chrysemys picta bellii (western painted turtle) is the source of this 1150-nucleotide long non-coding RNA. Lineage: Eukaryota; Metazoa; Chordata; Testudines; Emydidae. The record is from Ensembl.
AUUACACUUUGUUACAGUUUUCACUGGGGAAAAUUACCAUAAAGAAAACUGCUCAUCACCCCACAAUGCCCUUUUAAGUUUCCAUAGUUCAGGGAUUUCUGAGGCUUCUAUUCCAUUCCCUAAAAAGGGGUAGAAAUUAGGACUGGUGGGACUGUGAGCUUCCCUACUGCCAUCAUUCGUACACCUCCCUGUACAGCGAUCCCUAGUGGGAGAAGGACAGUCACUCCUAUGGUUGUAAUUUACUUAAUACACGUCCUUCCAGGUCAGGAACUGGAGGUUAGCUUCUUCAUUAACUGUGUUCCUACAAUAUUCCCUGCAGUGACUCCUGCUGGAAGUGAAUAGAGCCAACACACAUGCUGUUAAUUCUAUGAUGACUGAUUGUACCACUGUCUGAGUUGUGGUAUGAAUACAGAGAAAUUGUUGUUGAUUCUAGCAGAUGUGAGCAUACCUCUUACCACAGUUCCUUCAUUCCUUAUGUUGACCCCCUGAUGGGAGAGGUGGAGCUGGAAUAGCCGUGAGCUCCCUCACAGCUAGUUCUCCAUUCUAUUCCCUAUAAGGCACGAGCUGCAAAAUAUGCAUUUGGAUUCGAUUGCCGCACCAUGAGAAUUGGAGAGUGUUUGAAUAUGGGGUUCAGGCUUAGCCCAUAACAGAGAGAAGCCCUAAUUGUGGAAUUCAGAUCCAGGUUCAGCUCUACCUCAGUGCUUCCCAAUCCUCCAAAGUUUACGUGUGUUCAGAUUUUCAUGGUUUAGUUCUGAUUCCAUUUCUGUCUGAAAUGGGUGUUUUUGGUAACAGAUGUAAAGUUAAAGAUGUUAGAAGGCAGGUUUAAAAAAAUAUGACUGAUUUUACUAUUUUUUUAAACAUCUCAUUAUUUUUAAUCUCGUGAUAUUUUUAGAUCUAAUUCCUACUUUUUAAAUAUUUGGGACUGGCAGUAGUGGAAAACACACCAGAUUGAAAUGAUCAGCAUUCAGCCUGAUGCCAUGAAAACUAGUCUGAGGAGUGGAAUCAGUGAUGAACAAGGAACCAGCCCAGAGGGUGGUUUCCAGUGGUCCAAAGAACACAUGAAGUGUGCCUCAAAGGGAACUACAAGGAUCUUGUUUCAUUGAGAGCAGCAUGUGACUUCAGCAGCUCUCUGUUUUUAAUGCGUAAUGUA